RNAcentral lists this ribosomal RNA (478 nucleotides) under uncultured bacterium. RNAcentral describes it as "partial 16S ribosomal RNA". It matches the Rfam family "Bacterial small subunit ribosomal RNA", at positions 29 to 507 of the family's 1533-position model. The record is from RNAcentral.
AUGAACGCUGGCGGCGUGCUUAACCCCUGCAAGUCGAGCGAGAAGUUUUGAAAAGAUUCUUCGGAUGAAAUUUAAAAUGGAAAGCGGCGGACGGGUGAGUAACGCGUAGGCAACCUGCCCCAUACAAAGGGAUAGCAUUUGGAAACGAAUAUUAAUACCUUAUGAAACUUAACUAGUGCAUGCUAGGUAGGUCAAAGAUUUAUCGGUAUGGGAUGGGCCUGCGUCUGAUUAGCUAGUUGGUGAGGUAACGGCGCACCAAGGCGACGAUCAGUAGCCGACCUGAGAGGGUGAGCGCCCACAUUGGAACUGAGACACGGGCCGAACUCCUACGGGAGGCAGCAGUGGGGAAUAUUGCACAAUGGGGGAAACCCUGAUGCAGCAACGCAGCGUGAAAGAUGAAGGCCUUUGGGUCGUAAAGUUCUGUUCUAGGUGAUGAAAACUGACAGUAACCUAGGAGAAAGCCCCGGCUAACUCCGUG